AUUGAACGCUGGCGGCAGGCUUAACACAUGCAAGUCGAGCGGGGGAGGUUGCUUCGGUAACUGACCUAGCGGCGGACGGGUGAGUAAUGCUUAGGAAUCUGCCUAUUAGUGGGGGACAACAUCUCGAAAGGGAUGCUAAUACCGCAUACGUCCUACGGGAGAAAGCAGGGGACCUUCGGGCCUUGCGCUAAUAGAUGAGCCUAAGUCGGAUUAGCUAGUUGGAGGGGUAAAGGCCUACCAAGGCGACGAUCUGUAGCGGGUCUGAGAGGAUGAUCCGCCACACUGGGACUGAGACACGGCCCAGACUCCUACGGGAGGCAGCAGUGGGGAAUAUUGGACAAUGGGGGGAACCCUGAUCCAGCCAUGCCGCGUGUGUGAAGAAGGCCUUUUGGUUGUAAAGCACUUUAAGCGAGGAGGAGGCUACUGGUAUUAAUACUACCGGAUAGUGGACGUUACUCGCAGAAUAAGCACCGGCUAACUCUGUGCCAGCAGCCGCCGUAA
Molecule: ribosomal RNA, 501 nt
Filed under: uncultured bacterium
Lineage: Bacteria
Description: partial 16S ribosomal RNA
Rfam family: Bacterial small subunit ribosomal RNA
Source: RNAcentral